GGUACGACCAUGUGAAAGGUUAGGCUCCUGGAGGGAGAAAGAAACAAAGCCAAUUCUCUACCUUUUCUGAAGGCAGAAAACAUGAGGGACCCUGCUAGGGAGAUUCGCUGCCAUGAACAUUCGCUGCCAUGAAAGAAAACCCCAUGGCCAACUACUCCGCUGUACCUAAUGCCGUCUUUAAUCGGCAGGCAUCUGAAUUCCUAAGGAAAGAGGAGAGGUCGGGAACUGGCAGAAUAAUUUCAGUCCACAGGAAAACACUGAAUUUGAUGAGCAAUACAGCAAAAUUAUGGCAAGAAAUACCAUUCCAUUCCACUUUUUGAUCUAAGCAACACUUCAAACCUGCAUCCAUCACUCCAGAACUGGAUCGAUUGUUCAUCAACAAGUUUGCCUCACAAACUGCAUAGCCUGCUACCUG
Molecule: long non-coding RNA, 415 nt
Organism: Coregonus clupeaformis (lake whitefish)
Lineage: Eukaryota; Metazoa; Chordata; Actinopteri; Salmoniformes; Salmonidae
Exons: 3
Source: RefSeq, a predicted model, not a curated record